AAAAAAUUAGUUAAAUUUAUAACAUUAGUUUGUCAAACUAAAAUUAUUUCUAUAAAUAUUUUUUA
This is a non-coding RNA of Culicoides brevitarsis, 65 nucleotides long. Lineage: Eukaryota; Metazoa; Arthropoda; Insecta; Diptera; Ceratopogonidae. The record is from the annotation of a RefSeq genome assembly.